AACCAUAAUAACGAUCGACAUUGAGAAAUUACACCUGCACAUCAAACUUUGUAUAAGCUAACCAAACCCUUGUAGUCGGUGAUCCUGAGUUCGUCGUGAUCAUGAGCAAUCGAGUUCAUCGGGUUCCUUUGGCGAUCGAGGGGCUGCGGGAAGGAGUUGGAAAGUUGGGGAAGGAAGAGAUUUACAUGAAAAGGAGAAGUUUGAGAGAGC
Molecule: unclassified non-coding RNA, 210 nt
Filed under: Hevea brasiliensis (rubber tree)
Lineage: Eukaryota; Viridiplantae; Streptophyta; Magnoliopsida; Malpighiales; Euphorbiaceae
Source: RNAcentral